UAUUGGACAAUGGGCGAAAGCCUGAUCCAGCCAUGCCGCGUGGGUGAUGAAGGCCCUAGGGUUGUAAAGCCCUUUCGGCGGGGAAGAUAAUGACGGUACCCGCAGAAGAAGCCCCGGCCAACUUCGUGCCAGCAGCCGCGGUAAUACGAAGGGGGCUAGCGUUGCUCGGAAUUACUGGGCGUAAAGGGCGCGUAGGCGGGUUGCUAAGUCAGGGGUGAAAUCCUGGAGCUUAACUCCAGAACUGCCUCUGAUACUGGUGACCUCGAGUCCGGGAGAGGUGAGUGGAACUCCGAGUGUAGAGGUGAAAUUCGUAGAUAUUCGGAAGAACACCAGUGGCGAAGGCGGCUCACUGGCCCGGUACUGACGCUGAGGCGCGAAA
Molecule: ribosomal RNA, 379 nt
Filed under: uncultured bacterium
Lineage: Bacteria
Description: bacterial SSU rRNA
Rfam family: Bacterial small subunit ribosomal RNA
Source: RNAcentral